CGAAAGCCUGACGGAGCAAAACCGCGUGAGGGAGGAAGGCUCUUGGGUUGUAAACCUCUUUUCUCUGGGAAGAAGUUCUGACGGUACCAGAGGAAUAAGCCUCGGCUAACUCCGUGCCAGCAGCCGCGGUAAGACGGAGGAGGCAAGCGUUAUCCGGAAUUAUUGGGCGUAAAGCGUCCGCAGGCGGUUUAUUAAGUCUGUUGUUAAAGCCCACAGCUCAACUGUGGAACGGCAAUGGAAACUGAUGGACUUGAGUGCGGUAGGGGUAGAGGGAAUUCCCGGUGUAGCGGUGAAAUGCGUAGAGAUCGGGAAGAACAUCGGUGGCGAAAGCGCUCUACUGGACGGCAACUGACACUCAGGGACGAAAGCUAGGGGAGCG
This 379-nucleotide ribosomal RNA is filed under the name uncultured cyanobacterium. RNAcentral describes it as "bacterial SSU rRNA". It matches the Rfam family "Bacterial small subunit ribosomal RNA", at positions 376 to 770 of the family's 1533-position model. Lineage: Bacteria; Bacillati; Cyanobacteriota. The record is from RNAcentral.